Molecule: ribosomal RNA, 364 nt
Filed under: uncultured bacterium
Lineage: Bacteria
Description: partial 16S ribosomal RNA
Rfam family: Bacterial small subunit ribosomal RNA
Source: RNAcentral
CCUACGGGAGGCAGCAGUGAGGAAUAUUGGUCAAUGGCCGGAAGGCUGAACCAGCCAUGCCGCGUGAAGGUCAGUGCCCUAUGGGCGUUAAACCUCUUUUGUGCGGGAGCAAUAAUGGUCACGUGUGGCCAGACGAGAGUACCGUACGAAUAAGCAUCGGCUAACUACGUGCCAGCAGCCGCGGUGAUACGGGGGGUGCAAGCGUUAUCCGGAUCUAAUGGGUUUAAAGGGUGCGUAGGCUGUGAGGUAAGUCAGCGGUGGAAUGCCCCGGCUCAACGGGGGGAAGUGCCAUUGAUACUGGGUGGCUGGAGUGCAGAUGCGGUGGGAGGAAUGUGUGGUGUAGCGGUGAAAUGCAUAGAUAUCA